AGAGUUUGAUCCUGGCUCAGGAUGAACGCUGGCGGCGUGCCUAAUACAUGCAAGUCGAACGAAGCGAUUUGGGAAAUUUAUUUUUCAGAUUGACUGAGUGGCGAACGGAUGAGUAAGACAUAAGUAAUCUGCCGUAAAGACUGGGAUAACUUUGAGAAAUUAAAGCUAAGACCGGAUAGGAAUUAUUGAGGCAUCUUAAUAAUUUUAAAGGGGCUUAUGGCCUUGUUAUACGAUGAGCUUAUGGCGCAUUAGCUAGUUGGUAAGGUAAUGGCUUACCAAGGCGAUGAUGCGUAGCCGGCCUGAGAGGGUGACCGGCCACACUGGGACUGAGACACGGCCCAGACUCCUACGGGAGGCAGCAGUAGGGAAUUUUCGGCAAUGGGGGCAACCCUGACCGAGCGACGCCGCGUGAGUGAAGACGGUCUUCGGAUUGUAAAGCUCUGUUAUCAGGGAAGAAUAAGGUUAUCAGGAAAUGGAUAAUCGAUGACGGUACCUGAUCAGAAAGCCACGGCUAACUACGUGCCAGCAGCCGCGGUAAUACGUAGGUGGCGAGCGUUAUCCGGAAUUAUUGGGCGUAAAGGGUGCGUAGGCGGUUAUUUAAGUUUAAGGUUAAAGUUCAGGGCUCAACCCUGUGAUGCCUUAGAAACUGGAUAGCUAGAGUACAGGAGAGGUUAGUGGAAUUCCAUGUGUAGCGGUAAAAUGCGUAGAUAUAUGGAGGAACACCAGUGGCGAAGGCGGCUAACUGGCCUGUAACUGACGCUCAGGCACGAAAGCGUGGGGAGCAAAUAGGAUUAGAUACCCUAGUAGUCCACGCUGUAAACGAUGAGUGCUAGGUGUUGGGGGUCAAACCUCGGUGCCGCAGUUAACGCAUUAAGCACUCCGCCUGGGGAGUACGUUCGCAAGAAUAAAACUCAAAGGAAUUGACGGGGACCCGCACAAGCAGCGGAGCAUGUGGUUUAAUUCGAAGCAACGCGAAGAACCUUACCUGGAUUUGACAUCCCUCUGACCGUCUCUUAAUCGAGAUUUUCCCUUCGGGGACAGAGAAGACAGGUGGUGCAUGGUUGUCGUCAGCUCGUGUCGUGAGAUGUUGGGUUAAGUCCCGCAACGAGCGCAACCCUUGUCUUUAGUUGCCAUCAAGUAAAGUUGGGCACUCUAAAGAGACUGCCAAGGUAAACUUGGAGGAAGGUGGGGAUGACGUCAAAUCAUCAUGCCCUUUAUGUCCAGGGCUACACACGUGCUACAAUGGCCGAUACAACGGGCAGCUAAGGAGCAAUCCGGAGCAAAUCCUACAAAAUCGGUCCCAGUUCGGAUUGUGGGCUGAAAUUCGCCCACAUGAAGUCGGAGUUGCUAGUAAUCGCGAAUCAGCAUGUCGCGGUGAAUGCGUUCCCGGGUCUUGUACUCACCGCCCGUCA
Molecule: ribosomal RNA, 1412 nt
Filed under: uncultured bacterium
Lineage: Bacteria
Description: 16S ribosomal RNA
Rfam family: Bacterial small subunit ribosomal RNA
Source: RNAcentral